Molecule: unclassified non-coding RNA, 379 nt
Filed under: uncultured Rhodanobacteraceae bacterium
Lineage: Bacteria; Pseudomonadati; Pseudomonadota; Gammaproteobacteria; Lysobacterales; Rhodanobacteraceae
Description: contains 16S-23S intergenic spacer region
Source: RNAcentral
UCCGGUUUGUCACCGGCAGUCUCCUUAGAGUUCCCACCAUUACGUGCUGGCAACUAAGGACAAGGGUUGCGCUCGUUGCGGGACUUAACCCAACAUCUCACGACACGAGCUGACGACAGCCAUGCAGCACCUGUGUUCGCAUUCCCGAAGGCACCCGCCCAUCGCUGGGCAGUUCGCGACAUGUCAAGACCAGGUAAGGUUCUGCGCGUUGCAUCGAAUUAAACCACAUACUCCACCGCUUGUGCGGGCCCCCGUCAAUUCCUUUGAGUUUCAGUCUUGCGACCGUACUCCCCAGGCGGCGAACUUAACGCGUUAGCUUCGACACUGAGAGCCAAAUUGCUCCCAACGUCCAGUUCGCAUCGUUUAGGGCGUGGACUAC